This 55-nucleotide transfer RNA is filed under the name Oncorhynchus keta (chum salmon). RNAcentral describes it as "partial tRNA-Arg". The record is from RNAcentral. Lineage: Eukaryota; Metazoa; Chordata; Actinopteri; Salmoniformes; Salmonidae.
GGCAGUUAGUCCAAAACAAGACCCUUGAUUUCGGCUCAAAAGACCAUGGUUUAAG